This 253-nucleotide ribosomal RNA is filed under the name uncultured bacterium. RNAcentral's name for it is "partial 16S ribosomal RNA". It matches the Rfam family "Bacterial small subunit ribosomal RNA", at positions 524 to 776 of the family's 1533-position model. The record is from RNAcentral.
UACGGGGGGGGCAAGCGUUGUUCGGAAUUACUGGGUGUAAAGGGCUCGUAGGUGGCCAACUAAGUCAGACGUGAAAUCCCUCGGCUUAACCGGGGAACUGCGUCUGAUACUGGACGGCUUGAGUUUGGGAGAGGGACGCGGAAUUCCAGGUGUAGCGGUGAAAUGCGUAGAUAUCUGGAGGAACCCCAGAGGCGAAGGCGGCGUUCUGGCUCGCAACUGACGCUCAGACACGACAGCAUGGGGAGCGAACGGG